This 415-nucleotide long non-coding RNA is filed under the name Mytilus galloprovincialis (Mediterranean mussel). The record is from RNAcentral. Lineage: Eukaryota; Metazoa; Mollusca; Bivalvia; Mytilida; Mytilidae.
CAGAGAUACAAGCCAUAAACUGCAUUUUACCCCCAUGUUCUAUUUUAAGCCAUGGCGGCCAUUUUGAUUGAUGGGCAGGGUCAUCGAAUAUAAUUUUUUAACUUAAUAUCCUAAGGAUGAUCAAGGUCAAGUUUGGUUUUAUUUGGCCCAGUAGUUUCAAAGGCGAAGAUUUUUUAAAAAGUUAACGGACGACGACGGACGCCAUUUGAUGAGAUAAGCUCUUAUUGGCCGGAGCUAAAAAUAAUAAAGAAACAUAAAUCCCGAACAGAGGUGACGUCAUAUUUAAAGGGUGAACAAUGGCUAAAAAAAAAAUGACAAAGAAAUAAUCCAACACAUAUGUUAAUAGACAGAAGAAAGAUGACAAAGGAAUAAUCCAACACUUAUGUCAAAAGACAAUAAAAAAAGAAAGACGAAG